GUGCAGGUGGGCGAGUGGUUGAAGCCGCGGGAUUGUAAACCCCGUUCGAAAGACACGAUGGUUCAAAUCCAUCCCGGCACACCA
This 84-nucleotide transfer RNA is filed under the name Serratia phage Slocum. RNAcentral describes it as "tRNA-Tyr". It matches the Rfam family "tRNA". From Rfam's summary of the family: Transfer RNA (tRNA) molecules are approximately 80 nucleotides in length. Their secondary structure includes four short double-helical elements and three loops (D, anti-codon, and T loops). RNAcentral also lists the same sequence under 1 other name. The record is from RNAcentral. Lineage: Duplodnaviria; Heunggongvirae; Uroviricota; Caudoviricetes; Demerecviridae.